Non-coding RNA from Drosophila suzukii, 412 nucleotides. NCBI's taxonomy places the organism in Eukaryota, Metazoa, Arthropoda, Insecta, Diptera, Drosophilidae. The record is from RefSeq and is a predicted model, not a curated record.
GGUGGUCCCACUUUUAUUUACUGCGUCAAUUUUAGUGUAAAACGUGACAAAAGAAAAGUUUAAGGUGUUUAUAAAUGUAAUUACUUGAGUGUGGAUACAACUACGAAAGGCUGCAGUACAUUAGUGCUUCAGAUCUUGAUUUAAUAUUUUCCAAGAGAGAACAUCUUGGUCUAAAAUCCGAGUUCCGCGAGAAGCUCCAAAAACGGAAGCGAGCACAAGACAUUGAUGUCUGCGCAGGGGAUACGACACCAACAUAUAAAGAAAAGGUGACAUCACAACAAAAGAAUUUUUUGUGAGCAGCUUAAAUGAGCAUUACCAAUCCUAUGAAAUUGGCUCACUUAUAAAUAAUACUAAUAUAAUAAAUAUUAACGAAUUUGAAGGCCCAAUUCAUGUAUAUUACACACCAACUGGU